Long non-coding RNA from Canis lupus familiaris (dog), 909 nucleotides. RefSeq lists it as uncharacterized. NCBI's taxonomy places the organism in Eukaryota, Metazoa, Chordata, Mammalia, Carnivora, Canidae. The record is from RefSeq and is a predicted model, not a curated record. The transcript is spliced from 4 exons.
UUCUCUCCUUGACCAAAUUACUUAGCUCUUUUGAACUUUAUUCUGAGAGGUCAAUAUCUAAUCAAGUCUCUCAUCUUCCAACAUCUUCCAGCUGAUAUCUGAUCACCUCAGCUUGCUUUCAGCAAGAAUCCUAUUAGCAAAAGACUUGAAACAGCAAAUGUCCACCAGCAGGGACUGGUUGAAUAACCUACAACAAUGGGGACUUGGAGGCUGCAAAAAGAACUAGGAACAUCUCGACACAUUACCGCAGAGAGAUCCCCAGGGUGGGUUGUUCCAUGAAUAAUGCAAGAUCAGUCUCUUGUGAAUUUGGUGACCGUGAAUUAGUUUCUUUAAGUUUGGUCAAUAUUGAUUUUGCAGAUUAAAAAAACAAAAUUAAGCUUCUGCAACCAAAUGCUCUGCCACUACCAAACUGAGUUUCUGGAUCCACAAAGAGAGACAGCAUGAAGCAUGAGCACAAGUGCACUGCUACACAUGCUGGAGGAGGGGCAGAGGGGGAGAGGGCGAGAGUCUCAAGCCGAUUCUGCACUGAGCAUGGAGCCAGAUGUGGAGCUCAACUCCAUGACCUUGAGAUCAUGACUUGAGCCGAAACCAAGAGUUGGAUGCUUAACUGUCACCCAAGUGCCCCACUUAUAUAACAUUUUAAAUUUCUACACCUAUUUAAUUUUAAGAAACUACAAUGUGAUUUCAAGAAUAAAUCUAUUAAUAUCUAAAAGAUUCAAUUUUAGAAGUUUUUCAGGAAGCAAAAAGACAAACACUACAAAAGACUAUACUAAUUUCAACAGUGACAAAGUUAAUAAUAUCAAGAUAAUGCUAAUGUUUGUGGUAAUGUAAGAUACCUUAUUGUGCAUAAUUCCAUCUUCAGUUUCUUCUCCCCAAGGCUGUCCAUCAUCAAACAAAGGUGAGCUUUCU